This 387-nucleotide ribosomal RNA is filed under the name uncultured Thermus sp. RNAcentral's name for it is "bacterial SSU rRNA". It matches the Rfam family "Bacterial small subunit ribosomal RNA", at positions 1002 to 1382 of the family's 1533-position model. The record is from RNAcentral. Lineage: Bacteria; Thermotogati; Deinococcota; Deinococci; Thermales; Thermaceae.
UGAAAGCCUGGGGUGCCCCGGCGAGGGGAGCCCUAGCACAGGUGCUGCAUGGCCGUCGUCAGCUCGUGCCCGUGAGGUGUUGGGUUAAGUCCCGCAACGAGCGCAACCCCCGCCGUUAGUUGCCAGCGGUUCGGCCGGGCACUCUAACGGGACUGCCCGCGAAAGCGGGAGGAAGGAGGGGACGACGUCUGGUCAGCAUGGCCCUUACGGCCUGGGCGACACACGUGCUACAAUGCCCACUACAAAGCGAUGCCACCCGGCAACGGGAGCUAAUCGCAAAAAGGUGGGCCCAGUUCGGAUUGGGGUCUGCAACCCGACCCCAUGAAGCCGGAAUCGCUAGUAAUCGCGGAUCAGCCAUGCCGCGGUGAAUACCGGUUCCCGGGCCUU